ACGCGUUAAGUAGACCGCCUGGGGAGUACGGUCGCAAGAUUAAAACUCAAAUGAAUUGACGGGGGCCCGCACAAGCGGUGGAGCAUGUGGUUUAAUUCGAUGCAACGCGAAGAACCUUACCUACUCUUGACAUCCAGAGAACUUAGCAGAGAUGCUUUGGUGCCUUCGGGAACUCUGAGACAGGUGCUGCAUGGCUGUCGUCAGCUCGUGUUGUGAAAUGUUGGGUUA
Molecule: ribosomal RNA, 228 nt
Filed under: uncultured Vibrionaceae bacterium
Lineage: Bacteria; Pseudomonadati; Pseudomonadota; Gammaproteobacteria; Vibrionales; Vibrionaceae
Description: partial 16S ribosomal RNA
Rfam family: Bacterial small subunit ribosomal RNA
Source: RNAcentral